This 2018-nucleotide long non-coding RNA is filed under the name Marmota monax (woodchuck). Lineage: Eukaryota; Metazoa; Chordata; Mammalia; Rodentia; Sciuridae. The record is from RNAcentral.
GCAGCGCCCUGCAGAGAGGGAACUGUUGCCACCCCUGUUUUACAGGUAGGGGGUUUGUAGCCCAGGAGGAGGGUGACUCUGCCAGGUACCUGUCCACACACGCCCCCCAGGAGUGUGUUGAGGGAGGCACCGUCUCCUGCACUGACACCCACCUCCCCUCCGCCCUGUGCUUGGGCUUUCCUGGGCCUUUCAGCGUGGCUGCCCCUGCGUGUGUGUGACAGUUACUAGCUGUGUCACCACACCUGCUGAGAGGAGCCAGGCAAGGCUUCCCUUGCUUGUGGUUCUGAUUGAUUUAGCUGAUAAAAUGGAGGCAAACAAAAAUAAAGUCCUGAGACCAAGGAACUCAUUUGCAGCUGAAGCCAGUUAGGACUGAGGUGCGUGACUAGCGACCACAAAGUCCAAGCUAAAUCAUAUUCUGGUGCAGACUCCUUGGCACCGAGCAGAAUAUCAGUACAGAAAUGUUUCUCAGUCUCACAGCCCCCUAAGAGGGCUUGGUUUUUCCCACUCUGUUGCUGUGAAGGAGAAGCGAGGAAGUGCCUGAGCCACAUGGCUCAGUUGAUUUCUGGUCGCUAUUUUCCCCAAACCAGCCUGACUUCAUGGCCAGUGAGAGAGAACUGUAGUACCCUUGCUAUAGCACUGGUGUGGCCUCUUUCCUGGACGGGCACCACUACUGUUGAGGACACUGCGUAGUUUCCAGCUGAUUUUCAAAAAGGCAAGAGUAAAAUUAUAUGCAGAUAAACCUAUUUUCAUGGUAUUUAUCCAAGCUCACUUAUUUCUGGACUCUGAAUAAGAGUAAAGAUGAAAAAAUUACAAAGCAAAAUAUUUACCAGGGAAAACACUCUGUGAAGGUAAGGACUUUUGAAUACACGUGUUCUGUGGUCCUGGGCCUGUCAAAAUAACCACUGUGGUUGUGGGAAAUCCUGCACGUGGGUCUAAGAGACGGAAGUGAGAGUAGGUCUCCUGGGUCGGUAUCUUCUCCACUCUGAAAAGCUAUUUAUAUUUGAGACUACGGGACUAGCUAGGAUGUUCGGAGAAUGUGACUUUCACUAAGAAACAUAAGGGCACCUAAUUUAUAGAAGCAAAGCUGAUUAUUACACUCACCCCGAAUGCAGGUUAUUGGAGUGUAUCAUCCUUUUGAGAAAGGAGGGAAAAGGCAAACAGAAAUUGAAACUUGGCAAGGAUCUCUGAUGCACUAUUAUACUUUUCUGUGAAUGUCUGUGGUCAAGUGGGAAUGCCCUCAUUCUGACUUUGUGGGUUUUGCAUACUUAAACCCAGGUAGUCCCUCUGAAACCCUGCACAUCAAAUUUAAAAACCAUACUGCAGAGAUUAUAAGUACUUAGAAAAGUACAAAGACACAAUGUGUGCCUGUCUGCAAGAUGUUGUCUGAUUCUGGAGAGUACCUGCUUGAUAUGUGGUCACCUGUGGUCUACGCUGGUGCCUCUGUUUGUUCCCUUUACAAACAUUCAGCUGAGGCUGAAGCUCAACACAGGGAGGCUUAGUGAAGAAAACUCCAGAGGAAAAAAUCACUAGAGGUAGGGUUUGCUCAGCAAGGAUCCCAUUAGAUGGGAAGUGGUUACUUCCUUUCUCAGGAGUCACUGCCUCUCAUCUAGGUCAAGGACUAGACCUUUGAAGACUAGAUACAACUGCUGGGUCUUAAGGGAAUAGGACCAAUUUUUCUCAUUUUCUGCAAAUGAGAAAUCACUGAUGGAUCACCGGGAGAGGAUGGGCCAACAACCCAGACACACUGGUGCAUAAUACACCAAAAGAAGAAUGUUCUCAGACAGCUGUGGAAGGAUGGUAGAAAAAAAGCAAAAACCCAAAAUAUAGUCAUUUUUGUUUUAAAACAGUUUUCAACAUCAAUAUGUAUUAACCCAAAUUCAAAAGCCAAAUUCAAAAUCCAUACAUAGAAGAGAGACAAGUUUAUGCAUAUAUCUUCACGCCAUAUUCCUUUAUCUCUUAUAGCAAAUAUGUAUUUUUAAAUUUGUGGAAAUCUUGUAAAAAUCAAUUAUAUAUUCUUU